CCCUGGGGAUAACAGGCUUAUCUCCCCCAAGAGUCCACAUCGACGGGGAGGUUUGGCACCUCGAUGUCGGCUCAUCCCAUCCUGGGGCUGUAGUAGGUCCCAAGGGUUGGGCUGUUCGCCCAUUAAAGUGGUACGCGAGCUGGGUUCAGAACGUCGUGAGACAGUUCGGUCCCUAUCCGUCGCAGGCGUAGGAAAUUUGAGA
This 202-nucleotide ribosomal RNA is filed under the name Clostridioides difficile. RNAcentral's name for it is "partial 23S ribosomal RNA". It matches the Rfam family "Bacterial large subunit ribosomal RNA", at positions 2466 to 2667 of the family's 2925-position model. Lineage: Bacteria; Bacillati; Bacillota; Clostridia; Peptostreptococcales; Peptostreptococcaceae. The record is from RNAcentral.